Molecule: ribosomal RNA, 459 nt
Filed under: uncultured bacterium
Lineage: Bacteria
Description: partial 16S ribosomal RNA
Rfam family: Bacterial small subunit ribosomal RNA
Source: RNAcentral
CCUACGGGCGGCAGCAGUGAGGAAUAUUGGUCAAUGGCCGGAAGGCUGAACCAGCCAAGCCGCGUGAGGGAGGAAGGCGCAGAGCGUCGCAGACCUCUUUUGCCGGGGGACAAAAGGCCGGUCUCGUCCGGUCCUGAGGGUACCCGGAGAAAAAGCAUCGGCUAACUCCGUACCAGCAGCCGAGGUAUUACGGAGGAUGCGAGCGUUAUCCGGUUUCCUUGGGUUAAGAGGGUGCGCAGGGGGGCCUUUAAGCCGGCGGGGAAAUCGCGGGGCUCAACCCCGCCGAGCCGUCGAAACUGGGGGCCUUGAGUGCGGCGGAGGCAUGCGGAAUGCGCGGUGUAGCGGUGAAAUGCAUAGAUAUCGCGCAGAACCCCGAUUGCGAAGGCAGCGUGCCGUGCCGCCACUGACGCUGAGGCACGAAAGCGCGGGGAUCGAACAGGAUUAGAUACCCCAGUAGUC